CUACUUUCUACAACAGACAAACCCAAACAGGACAGAAUACCAUUUGUAAGUACUUUCUAAUCACUUGCACCUGAAAUACAGAACAUUAUACGUAAUAACUGGUUUAUAUUACAACCUGAUAAACACACUGGACAUCUAUUUCAGAAUCCCCCAUGAUUUGCUAAUAUUUGCUAAUAAACUCGGAUGAUCUAUAAUAGAUAUAAUAGUUAGGGCUGACUGUCUGACUAACACUAAACAAACUUCUCUUUCAAAACCAGUGCAUGGGACAUACCCUUAAUUGAGCUGCAGUCAUUGCAGUGGGAUUAUUAAGGGUGAAUUUUGCACCUACCCCAGGACAGGCCAACAGAUCAGGCUUAAAGGGUUUUUCACAUGCCAGAUUUACAUGUGAUUUAUCUUCUUAAGUGUCCGUGUGGUCUGGGCUAUGUGGGUAAAACUAUAUGUGCCCUAAAAGUCUGAUCCGUAGUAUAGACUACUGACGCACCAGUCGCACGGCACUUUAAAGAAAAAAGGCAUAACGUCUCACAGUUACCAAGUGCUUGAAAAGGUGCCGGUGCCCCUACUUACUAGAGAAGGUGCAUCUAGUAUGUGCCCGAUUUGGAUUUGGAUUUGGCUAUGUAUCUUAUCUUGCAUGGUCCUCUAUUACCAUUUGCCAGUCUGUCUCUCUUUACUUACCUUUGUUUUUUUCCAUCUUUUUUGGCAUGCUGUAUAGCUUUCUUUUAGAGAGGGUGUUCUUUUUAUAUUUUAUUUUCACUCCAUGUUCAAG
Non-coding RNA from Pelobates cultripes (western spadefoot toad), 763 nucleotides. NCBI's taxonomy places the organism in Eukaryota, Metazoa, Chordata, Amphibia, Anura, Pelobatidae. The record is from the annotation of a GenBank genome assembly.